This 253-nucleotide ribosomal RNA is filed under the name uncultured bacterium. RNAcentral describes it as "partial 16S ribosomal RNA". It matches the Rfam family "Bacterial small subunit ribosomal RNA", at positions 524 to 776 of the family's 1533-position model. The record is from RNAcentral.
UACGAAGGGUGCAAGCGUUAAUCGGAAUUACUGGGCGUAAAGCGUGCGUAGGCGGUUUGUUAAGUCUGUUGUGAAAUCCCCGGGCUCAACCUGGGAAUGGCAAUGGAUACUGGCAAGCUAGAGUGUGUCAGAGGAUGGUGGAAUUCCCGGUGUAGCGGUGAAAUGCGUAGAGAUCGGGAGGAACAUCAGUGGCGAAGGCGGCCAUCUGGGACAACACUGACGCUGAGGCACGAAAGCGUAGGGAGCAAACAGG